This 565-nucleotide ribosomal RNA is filed under the name uncultured bacterium. RNAcentral describes it as "partial 16S ribosomal RNA". It matches the Rfam family "Bacterial small subunit ribosomal RNA", at positions 355 to 913 of the family's 1533-position model. The record is from RNAcentral.
UGGGGAAUUUUGGACAAUGGGCGAAAGCCUGAUCCAGCAAUGCCGCGUGUGUGAAGAAGGCCUUCGGGUUGUAAAGCACUUUUGUCCGGAAAGAAAUCCUUGGCUCUAAUACAGUCGGGGGAUGACGGUACCGGAAGAAUAAGCACCGGCUAACUACGUGCCAGCAGCCGCGGUAAUACGUAGGGUGCAAGCGUUAAUCGGAAUUACUGGGCGUAAAGCGUGCGCAGGCGGUUUGCUAAGACCGAUGUGAAAUCCCCGGGCUCAACCUGGGAACUGCAUUGGUGACUGGCAGGCUAGAGUAUGGCAGAGGGGGGUAGAAUUCCACGUGUAGCAGUGAAAUGCGUAGAGAUGUGGAGGAAUACGAUGGCGAAGGCAGCCCCCUGGGCCAAUACUGACGCUCAUGCACGAAAGCGUGGGGAGCAAACAGGAUUAGAUACCCUGGUAGUCCACGCCCUAAACGAUGUCAACUAGUUGUUGGGGAUUCAUUUCCUUAGUAACGUAGCUAACGCGUGAAGUUGACCGCCUGGGGAGUACGGGUCGCAAGAUUAAAACUCAAAUGAAUUAG